AUACGUAGGGGGCGAGCGUUGUCCGGAAUGAUUGGGCGUAAAGGGCGCGUAGGCGGCCCGGUAAGUCUGGAGUGAAAGUCCUGUUUUUAAGAUGGGAAUUGCUUUGGAUACUGUCGGGCUUGAGUGCAGGAGAGGUAAGUGGAAUUCCCAGUGUAGCGGUGAAAUGCGUAGAGAUUGGGAGGAACACCAGUGGCGAAGGCGACUUACUGGACUGUAACUGACGCUGAGGCGCGAAAGUGUGGGGAGCAAACAGGAUUAGAUACCCUGGUAGUCCACACCGUAAACGAUGAAUACUUGUUUUCGGCGAUAUAAUGUCGGAGGCAAAGCGAAAGCGAUAAGUAUUCCACCUGGGGAGUACGCCGGCAACGGUGAAACUCAAAUGAAUUGGCGGGG
RNAcentral lists this ribosomal RNA (393 nucleotides) under uncultured bacterium. RNAcentral's name for it is "partial 16S ribosomal RNA". It matches the Rfam family "Bacterial small subunit ribosomal RNA", at positions 523 to 918 of the family's 1533-position model. The record is from RNAcentral.